GGUGGCGCUGGAUAGGGGAUUACAUGUGCAGAGAAGAUGGAGGAAUCACAACCUCCCCUCGCGGCCACGAGACAGAAUGGCGCAUACUGCGCUCCACAGAUGGCGCUGUUUGCAUCUGCACCGGUCAGCGCUACAGAAAGGAUUAUCUCAUUAGCAACGCAAGUUCGCUCGUUACCGCCGCUACGGACGUGUCAGCGGCCGUCUGGGAUACAGGUGAGUCUUAUACAGG
Non-coding RNA from Plutella xylostella (diamondback moth), 229 nucleotides. The record is from RefSeq and is a predicted model, not a curated record. NCBI's taxonomy places the organism in Eukaryota, Metazoa, Arthropoda, Insecta, Lepidoptera, Plutellidae.